Non-coding RNA from Trichobilharzia regenti, 46 nucleotides. Lineage: Eukaryota; Metazoa; Platyhelminthes; Trematoda; Strigeidida; Schistosomatidae. The record is from Rfam.
GUACUGACGAAGAGUCCCAAACUAGGAUGAAACAGCUGUCCAGUAC